UGCCACAGCAGCAACCUCAGCCACUACAGUUGACAACACCAGAUCCUUAACCUGCUGAGCCAACAGGGAACUCCAGCUGUCAGUCUUUUUCAGCAGAGUGACUCCAGGAAGUCACUCACUGGAAAACUGAUUUCUACUAUUCCCCACAAAAGUGUCCUUUUCGUAAUUUUUAUAUUAAUCCCUAAAUUUUCUAAAAAAUAUUUUAAGUAGACUUUAUUUCUAGAACCACUUUAGGGUCACAACAAAAUUGAGCAGAAAAGUAGAGAUUUCCCAUAUAGUCUUUGUUCGGGCCCAUGCACAGCCUCCCCACCAUCAAUAUCCCCACUAGAUGGUACAUUUGUUACAACUGAUGAAUCUACAUGGACACGUUAUCAUCAUUAAAAGUCUAUAGCUUACACUAGAGUUCACUCUUGGUAUUGUAUACUCUAUGGGUUUUGAUAAAUGUAUAAUGACAUGUGCCUACUAUCUUAGUAUCAGAGUGGUUUCACUGCCCUAAAAAUCCUCUUAUCUUCUGUACUAUCACAUAAUCUCUUGUCAUUUUUCAUGGAAAGUAAAAUAAUAAAUUCAGUACAGGGGAAGAACAAAAAUAAUUAAGAAAAAUAAGAUUUUCCAAGGAAUAUCUGAGUCAAAAGUUGAACUAGUUUAUUUGCAUAUAGUAUUGCAUACACUGAGAAAGACUGAAUGGCUACAAUGGACAUGUAUUGCUUUGAUAUAUGUAUAGUUAUUGACAAAAUAAAAUUAUUUUACACACUAGAAUAUCCAGAUCCUAGAAGGGAAUUUCUGAGAAGUGUAAGCAGCCCCAAGACCCCUCUGCCAGGUGAGGGAGUGUCUGUUUUGAAUCUGAGGACUUGGACAUCAAUAUCUUCAGCCCUCUCUCAUUGACAGAUUAUUUUUUGCCCUCUAAAGCAGUAUUUUUCAAAUAUUUUUCACCUAAAAUAUAAGUAAUGUGUGUUAUAUUCUCCAUCUCCCCCCCCCAAACUGAGACACGUUUCGUGAAAUAAUACUUACCUAUAAGUAUUGCGAUAAGAUAAAAAUUUAAGGUCAAUGUGAAAUGUAAUUUCAUUGAUAUUUAAAUAAAAGAGGAAAAGGUUCCCAGUGAAAUAAUACAAAAACAGAAAGCAUAAACAAUCACGUUGUUGUCUAUGAACAAGAUGAAAACCACCCUCUAGCAGUCACCCAAGCUCUCCAUCAGGCCCCCUCAGGAAGCUGCUUCCAAUUCUGGCUCAUCUGGUGGCAUCCAAAGAGAAAAGGCCAUCAUCUCUGUUUUCUGGAAGCUCUUUGAAUACAAAGGCAAAGACCAUUCCUAAUCACCUCUGUGAACCCUGUACAAACUGUGCCCUUUGGGGACUAUAUUUUAAUUAGGGGACUAACUACUGAGGGGCUUCCUAAAGAAGGAAAAGAGAAUAUGUGGUUCAAUUUCUCUUGAAAACAUUUUAGAGUUAAAACUACAAGCCCAAAGCACAACACUAGGUUGUCUAAAAUGCGAAAAUAAUCAAACAAUACUCAUUUUAUUCACUUUCCUAGUUCUCUCUUGGUAUUUUCCUUCUCCCUUCUCAGUACACCUUGAGAAGAAAACUAAAAAAAAAAA
This 1588-nucleotide long non-coding RNA is filed under the name Sus scrofa (pig). RNAcentral describes it as "lncRNA (ENSSSCG00025051380.1)". Lineage: Eukaryota; Metazoa; Chordata; Mammalia; Artiodactyla; Suidae. The record is from RNAcentral.